RNAcentral lists this ribosomal RNA (892 nucleotides) under Exiguobacterium undae. RNAcentral's name for it is "bacterial SSU rRNA". It matches the Rfam family "Bacterial small subunit ribosomal RNA", at positions 10 to 872 of the family's 1533-position model. The record is from RNAcentral. Lineage: Bacteria; Bacillati; Bacillota; Bacilli; Caryophanales.
AGUUUGAUCAUGGCUCAGGACGAACGCUGGCGGCGUGCCUAAUACAUGCAAGUCGAGCGCAGGAAGCUCACGGAACUCUUCGGAGGGAAGUGAAGGGAAUGAGCGGCGGACGGGUGAGUAACACGUAAGGAACCUGCCCCAAGGAUUGGGAUAACUCCGAGAAAUCGGAGCUAAUACCGAAUAGUUCUUCAGACCGCAUGGUCUGAUGAUGAAAGGCGCUUCGGCGUCACCUUGGGAUGGCCUUGCGGUGCAUUAGCUAGUUGGUGGGGUAAUGGCCCACCAAGGCGACGAUGCAUAGCCGACCUGAGAGGGUGAUCGGCCACACUGGGACUGAGACACGGCCCAGACUCCUACGGGAGGCAGCAGUAGGGAAUCUUCCACAAUGGACGAAAGUCUGAUGGAGCAACGCCGCGUGAGUGAUGAAGGUUUUCGGAUCGUAAAACUCUGUUGUAAGGGAAGAACAGGUAUGAGAGGUAAUGCUCAUGCUAUGACGGUACCUUGCGAGAAAGCCACGGCUAACUACGUGCCAGCAGCCGCGGUAAUACGUAGGUGGCAAGCGUUGUCCGGAAUUAUUGGGCGUAAAGCGCGCGCAGGCGGCCUUUUAAGUCUGAUGUGAAAGCCCCCGGCUCAACCGGGGAGGGUCAUUGGAAACUGGAAGGCUUGAGUACAGAAGAGAAGAGUGGAAUUCCAUGUGUAGCGGUGAAAUGCGUAGAGAUGUGGAGGAACACCAGUGGCGAAGGCGACUCUUUGGUCUGUAACUGACGCUGAGGCGCGAAAGCGUGGGGAGCAAACAGGAUUAGAUACCCUGGUAGUCCACGCCGUAAACGAUGAGUGCUAGGUGUUGGGGGGUUUCCGCCCCUCAGUGCUGAAGCUAACGCAUUAAGCACUCCGC